CAGCAGCCGCGGGAAUACGAAGGGUGCAAGCGUUACUCGGAAUUACUGGGCGUAAAGCGUGCGUAGGUGGUGGUUUAAGUCCGUUGUGAAAGCCCUGGGCUCAACCUGGGAAUUGCAGUGGAUACUGGGUCACUAGAGUGUGGUAGAGGAUAGUGGAAUUUCCGGUGUAGCAGUGAAAUGCGUAGAGAUCGGAAGGAACAUCUGUGGCGAAGGCGACUAUCUGGGCCAACACUGACACUGAGGCACGAAAGCGUGGGGAGCAAACAGGAUUAGAACCCCUGUAGUCCCUGUCUCUUAUACA
Molecule: ribosomal RNA, 301 nt
Filed under: uncultured bacterium
Lineage: Bacteria
Description: partial 16S ribosomal RNA
Rfam family: Bacterial small subunit ribosomal RNA
Source: RNAcentral